RNAcentral lists this ribosomal RNA (492 nucleotides) under uncultured bacterium. RNAcentral's name for it is "partial 16S ribosomal RNA". It matches the Rfam family "Bacterial small subunit ribosomal RNA", at positions 29 to 507 of the family's 1533-position model. The record is from RNAcentral.
AGUGAACGCUGGCGGUAGGCCUAACACAUGCAAGUCGAACGGCAGCACAGUAAGAGCUUGCUCUUACGGGUGGCGAGUGGCGGACGGGUGAGGAAUACAUCGGAAUCUACUUUUUCGUGGGGGAUAACGUAGGGAAACUUACGCUAAUACCGCAUACGACCUACGGGUGAAAGCAGGGGAUCUUCGGACCUUGCGCGAUUGAAUGAGCCGAUGUCGGAUUAGCUAGUUGGCGGGGUAAAGGCCCACCAAGGCGACGAUCCGUAGCUGGUCUGAGAGGAUGAUCAGCCACAAGGGAACUGAGACACGGUCCAGACUCAGACGGGAGGCAGCAGUGGGGAAUAUUGGACAAUGGGCGCAAGCCUGAUCCAGCCAUACCGCGUGGGUGAAGAAGGCCUUCGGGUUGUAAAGCUCUUUUGUUGGGAAAGAAAAGCAGCAGGUUAAUACCCCGCUGUUCUGAAGGGACCCAAAGAAUAAGCACGGGCGAGCGUCGGG